GAGUCGUAACAAGGUUUCCGUAGGUGAACCUGCGGAAGGAUCAUUAUCGUAGGGCUUCGGCCCUGUCGAGAUAGAACCCUUGCCUUUAUGAGUACCGUCCGUUUCCUCGGCAGGCCCGCCUGCCGAUGGACCCAAAACCAAACCCUUUUUAUUACCUGUAUCAGUCUGAAAAAUAAACAAAAAGUUAAAA
This 190-nucleotide unclassified non-coding RNA is filed under the name plant metagenome. RNAcentral describes it as "partial contains small subunit ribosomal RNA and internal transcribed spacer 1". The stretch from base 1 to 46 matches the Rfam family "Eukaryotic small subunit ribosomal RNA", at positions 1786 to 1831 of the family's 1831-position model. The record is from RNAcentral.